UAGGGAAUCUUCCGCAAUGGACGAAAGUCUGACGGAGCAACGCCGCGUGAGUGAUGAAGGCUUUCGGGUCGUAAAACUCUGUUGUUAGGGAAGAACAAGUGCUAGUUGAAUAAGCUGGCACCUUGACGGUACCUAACCAGAAAGCCACGGCUAACUACGUGCCAGCAGCCGCGGUAAUACGUAGGUGGCAAGCGUUAUCCGGAAUUAUUGGGCGUAAAGCGCGCGCAGGUGGUUUCUUAAGUCUGAUGUGAAAGCCCACGGCUCAACCGUGGAGGGUCAUUGGAAACUGGGAGACUUGAGUGCAGAAGAGGAAAGUGGAAUUCCAUGUGUAGCGGUGAAAUGCGUAGAGAUAUGGAGGAACACCAGUGGCGAAGGCGACUUUCUGGUCUGUAACUGACACUGAGGCGCGAAAGCGUGGGGAGCAAACAGGAUUAGAUACCCUGGUAGUCCACGCCGUAAACGAUGAGUGCUAAGUGUUAGAGGGUUUCCGCCCUUUAGUGUCG
Molecule: ribosomal RNA, 503 nt
Filed under: uncultured Bacillota bacterium
Lineage: Bacteria; Bacillati; Bacillota
Description: bacterial SSU rRNA
Rfam family: Bacterial small subunit ribosomal RNA
Source: RNAcentral